RNAcentral lists this ribosomal RNA (538 nucleotides) under uncultured bacterium. RNAcentral's name for it is "bacterial SSU rRNA". It matches the Rfam family "Bacterial small subunit ribosomal RNA", at positions 358 to 916 of the family's 1533-position model. The record is from RNAcentral.
GGAAUCUUGCACAAUGGAGGAAACUCUGAUGCAGCGAUGCCGCGUGAGUGAAGAAGGCCUUUGGGUUGUAAAGCUCUUUUGUAGGGGAAGAUAAUGACUGUACCCUAAGAAUAAGGUCCGGCUAACUUCGUGCCAGCAGCCGCGGUAAUACGAAGGGACCUAGCGUAGUUCGGAAUUACUGGGCGUAAAGCGCGCGUAGGCCGUUGAGUUAGUUAAUUGUGAAAUCCCAAAGCUUAACUUUGGAACUGCAAUUAAAACUGCUCGACUAGAGUUUGAUAGAGGAAAGCGGAAUACAUAGUGUAGAGGUGAAAUUCGUAGAUAUUAUGUAGAACACCAGUUGCGAAAGCGGCUUUCUGGAUCAACACUGACGCUGAGGCGCGAAAGUAUGGGUAGCAAAGAGGAUUAGAUACCCUCGUAGUCCAUACCAUAAACGAUGAUUGCUAGAUGUUGGAAAUUUAUUUUCAGUAUCGCAGCUAACGCAUUAAGCAAUCCGCCUGGGGAGUACGACCGCAAGGUUAAAACUCAAAUGAAUUGACGG